Molecule: ribosomal RNA, 492 nt
Filed under: uncultured bacterium
Lineage: Bacteria
Description: partial 16S ribosomal RNA
Rfam family: Bacterial small subunit ribosomal RNA
Source: RNAcentral
ACGAACGCUGGCGGCGUGCUUAACACAUGCAAGUCGAACGGUGAAGCGCCUUCCUUUUUGGUGGGUGUGGAUGAGUGGCGAACGGGUGAGUAACACGUGAGUAACCUGCCCCCUUCUUCUGGAUAACCGCAUGAAAGUGUGGCUAAUACGGGAUAUUCUGGGUCUGUCGCAUGAUGGGUCUGGGAAAGAUAUUGUUUCGGUGGGGGAUGGGCUCGCGGCCUAUCAGCUUGUUGGUGGGUGAUGGCCUACCAAGGCGGUGACGGGUAGCCGGCCUGAGAGGGUGGACGGUCACACUGGGACUGAGACACGGCCCAGACUCCUACGGGAGGCAGCAGGGGGGAAUAUUGCACAAUGGGCGCAAGCCUGAUGCAGCGACGCCGCGUGAGGGAUGGAGGCCUUCGGGUUGUGAACCUCUUUCGCCAGUGAAGCAGGCCUGCCUCGUUUGUGGGUGGGUUGACGGUAGCUGGAUAAGAAGCGCCGGCUAACUACGUG